This 270-nucleotide ribosomal RNA is filed under the name uncultured archaeon. RNAcentral describes it as "partial 16S ribosomal RNA". It matches the Rfam family "Archaeal small subunit ribosomal RNA", at positions 477 to 747 of the family's 1478-position model. The record is from RNAcentral.
CAGCACCUCAAGUGGUCAGGAUGAUUAUUGCGCCUAAAGCAUCCGUAGCCUGCUUUGUUAGUUUUCGGUUAAAUCCAUACGCUCAACGUAUGGGCUGCCGGGAAUACUGCAAAGCUAGGGAGUGGGAGAGGUAGACGGUACUCGGUAGGAAGGGGUAAAAUCCUUUGAUCUAUUGAUGACCACCUGUGGCGAAGGCGGUCUACCAGAACACGUCCGACGGUGAGGGAUGAAAGCUGGGGGAGCAAACCGGAUUAGAGACCCGAGUAGUCC